RNAcentral lists this ribosomal RNA (385 nucleotides) under uncultured bacterium. Its description in RNAcentral is "partial 16S ribosomal RNA". It matches the Rfam family "Bacterial small subunit ribosomal RNA", at positions 523 to 906 of the family's 1533-position model. The record is from RNAcentral.
ACACGUAGGGGGCGAGCGUUGUUCGGAAUUACUGGGCGUAAAGGGCGCGUAGGCGGCGCGGUAAGUCUGGAGUGAAAGUCCUGCUUUCGAGGUGGGAAUUGCUUUGGAUACUGCCGCGCUUGAGUGCAGGAGAGGUUAUCGGAAUUCCCGGUGUAGCGGUGAAAUGCGUAGAGAUCGGGAGGAACACCAGUGGCGAAGGCGACUUACUGGGCCGUAACUGACGCUGAGGCGCGAAAGCGUGGGGAGCGAACAGGAUUAGAUACCCUGGUAGUCCACGCUGUAAACGAUGAAUGCUAGGUGUAGGGGGUAUCGACCCCUCCUGUGCCGGAGUAAACGCAAUAAGCAUUCCGCCUGGGGAGUACGGCCGCAAGGUUGAAACUCAAAG